RNAcentral lists this ribosomal RNA (480 nucleotides) under uncultured Bacteroidota bacterium. Its description in RNAcentral is "bacterial SSU rRNA". It matches the Rfam family "Bacterial small subunit ribosomal RNA", at positions 355 to 833 of the family's 1533-position model. The record is from RNAcentral. Lineage: Bacteria; Pseudomonadati; Bacteroidota.
UGAGGAAUAUUGGACAAUGGGCGGGAGCCUGAUCCAGCCAUGCCGCGUGCAGGAAGACGGCCCUAUGGGUUGUAAACUGCUUUUAUACGGGAAGAAACACCCCCUCGCGAGGGGGCUUGACGGUACCGUAGGAAUAAGGAUCGGCUAACUCCGUGCCAGCAGCCGCGGUAAUACGGAGGAUCCGAGCGUUAUCCGGAAUCAUUGGGUUUAAAGGGUCCGUAGGUGGACGGUUAAGUCAGGGUGAAAUCCCGCAGCUCAACUGUGGAAUUGCCCUUGAUACUGGCCGUCUUGAGUCAUUGUGAAGUGGUUGGAAUAUGUAGUGUAGCGGUGAAAUGCAUAGAUAUUACAUAGAACACCGAUUGCGAAGGCAGAUCACUAACAAUGCACUGACACUGAUGGACGAAAGCGUGGGGAGCGAACAGGAUUAGAUACCCUGGUAGUCCACGCCGUAAACGAUGGUCACUAGCUGUCCGGAACUUG